Molecule: ribosomal RNA, 485 nt
Filed under: uncultured Sphingobacteriales bacterium
Lineage: Bacteria; Pseudomonadati; Bacteroidota; Sphingobacteriia; Sphingobacteriales
Description: bacterial SSU rRNA
Rfam family: Bacterial small subunit ribosomal RNA
Source: RNAcentral
AACGUUAAAGGAAUUGACGGGGGCCCGCACAAGCGGAGGAACAUGUGGUUUAAUUCGAUGAUACGCGAGGAACCUUACCUGGGCUUAAAUGUAGGUUGCAUAACUUAGAAAUAGGUUUUCCCUUCGGGGCUACUUACAAGGUGCUGCAUGGUUGUCGUCAGCUCGUGCCGUGAGGUGUCGGGUUAAGUCCCAUAACGAGCGCAACCCCUAUCGUUAGUUGCCAGCGGGUCAAGCCGGGGACUCUAGCGAGACUGCCGCCGUAAGGUGAGAGGAAGGUGGGGAUGACGUCAAAUCAGCACGGCCCUUAUGUCCAGGGCUACACACGUGUUACAAUGGCCGAUACAAAGGGCAGCUACCGGGCGACCGGAUGCUAAUCUCAAAAGUCGGUCCCAGUUCGGAUUGGAGUCUGCAACCCGACUCCAUGAAGUUGGAUUCGCUAGUAAUCGCGCAUCAGCCAUGGCGCGGUGAAUACGUUCCCGGGCCUU